GGCGGGAGCGGAGAGGGCCGUGGCCUUUGCCCUUGCUGCGCAGGCGCUUUGCUCUCUGCACUUCCGACGGAGGUGCCGGGCGCAGCCAUGUUGUAUUGAGGUGCGGGCAGCAACUCUUCAGCACACUGUUCGUGGACUUGGGGUGUUGGUGUGGCAGUUCUGUACCGGAAACUCUUAAGGCCUCUGCAUAUGGCUCCCUAGAGCGACAGCCCACCAGGCUCCCCCGUCCCUGGGAUUCUCCAAGCAAGAACUCUGGAGUGGGUUGCCAUUUCCUUCUUCAAUGCAUGAAAGGGAAAAGUGAAAGUGAAGUUGCUCAGUCAUGUCUGACUCUUCGCGACCCCAUGGACUGCAGCCCACCAGGCUCCUCUGCCCAUGGGAUUUUCCAGGUCACCCUUCCCCCGAGGAGUGAUCACUGGGAAGGCACCUGCCUCUGCAGCCGAUUCCCACCCUGCUUUAGUUCAGUAUGAGCCCAGAGCUGGUUGGGUCGGGAAUAGGCGAAGCCCCCCUUCCCGCAGCAUCUAGCGGGCAGCAUCGGAGAUGGGGGGGAAGAAGGGGCAGCGGCUGGAGGUCCAAGGGAAGCAACGCCCUCCUUUGCGCUGCGUUGGUGGCCCCUCCAGCCCUGGGUGUGGCCUUGUCGGGGCAGGUUUCUCCGGAGCUGCUGAACCCCGCCACUUUGAAAUGAGGGGGGACUCUUGCUGGCGUCCCCAGCACGUCAAGGGGCGAAAUGUUACUGAAAAUACUAACAAAAUUCCCUUGGCUGUUAAAAC
This is a long non-coding RNA of Bos taurus (domestic cattle), 767 nucleotides long. The record is from Ensembl. Lineage: Eukaryota; Metazoa; Chordata; Mammalia; Artiodactyla; Bovidae.